This 406-nucleotide ribosomal RNA is filed under the name uncultured bacterium. Its description in RNAcentral is "partial 16S ribosomal RNA". It matches the Rfam family "Bacterial small subunit ribosomal RNA", at positions 30 to 526 of the family's 1533-position model. The record is from RNAcentral.
AUUGAACGCUGGCGGCAGGCCUAACACAUGCAAGUCGAGCGAGCGGCGGACGGGUGAGUAAUGUAUGGGGAUCUGCCCGAUAGAGGGGGCUAACUACUGGAAACGGUGGCUAAUACCGCAUACCAUCAGAUGAACCCAUAUGGGAUUAGCUUGUAGGUGAGGUAACGGGUCACCUAGGCGACGAUCCCUAGCUGGUCUGAGAGGAUGAUCAGCCACACUGGGACUGAGACACGGCCCAGAAUCCUACGGGAGGCAGCAGUGGGGAAUAUUGCACCAUGGGCGCAAGCCUGAUGCAGCCAUGCCGCGUGUAUGAAGAAGGCCUUAGGGUUGUAAAGUACUUUCAGCGGGGAGGCGUUACCCGCAGAAGAAGCACCGGCUAACUCCGUGCCAGCCGCCGCGGUAAUAC